This 325-nucleotide ribosomal RNA is filed under the name uncultured eukaryote. RNAcentral describes it as "partial 18S ribosomal RNA". It matches the Rfam family "Eukaryotic small subunit ribosomal RNA", at positions 1470 to 1796 of the family's 1831-position model. The record is from RNAcentral.
CCCUUAGAUGUUCUGGGCCGCACGCGCGCUACACUGAUGCAUUCAACGAGCCUAUCCUUGACCGACAGGUCCGGGUAAUCUUUGAAUCUGCAUCGUGACGGGGAUAGAUUAUUGCAAUUAUUAAUCUUCAACGAGGAAUGCCUAGUAGGCGCAAGUCAUCAGCUUGCGUCGAUUACGUCCCUGCCCUUUGUACACACCGCCCGUCGCUCCUACCGAUUGGGUGUGCUGGUGAAAUGUUCGGAUCGGCCGUUUGUCGCGGUUUCCGCGUCAUGUGGCUGAGAAGUUCAUUAAACCCUCCCUCCUAGAGGAAGGAGAAGUCGUAACA